This 412-nucleotide ribosomal RNA is filed under the name Styracaster paucispinus. RNAcentral's name for it is "SSU rRNA". It matches the Rfam family "Eukaryotic small subunit ribosomal RNA", at positions 565 to 982 of the family's 1831-position model. Lineage: Eukaryota; Metazoa; Echinodermata; Asteroidea; Paxillosida; Porcellanasteridae. The record is from RNAcentral.
UGCCAGCAGCCGCGGUAAUUCCAGCUCCAAUAGCGUAUAUUAAAAUUGCUGCAGUUAAAAAGCUCGUAGUUGGAUCUUGGGCGCAGGCAGGCGGUCCUCCGCAAGGCGCGCCACUGCCCGCCUGGCCUUCCUUUCGGUCUCCGCCCGGUUCUCUUGACUGAGUGCCGGGUGCGGCCGAAACGUUUACUUUGAAAAAAUUGGAGUGUUCAAAGCAGGCCGCGCGCCUGGACAGCAGAGCAUGGAAUAAUGGAAUAGGACCUCGGUUCUACUGCGUUGGUUUUCGGAACUCGAGGUAAUGAUUAAGAGGGACUGACGGGGGCAUUCGUACUGCGGUGUGAGAGGUGAAAUUCUCGGAUCGCCGCAAGACGACCGACUGCGAAAGCAUUUGCCAAGAAUGUUUUCAUUAAUCAGA